UUGGAGGGCAAGUCUGGUGCCAGCAGCCGCGGUAAUUCCAGCUCCAAUAGCGUAUAUUAAAGUUGUUGUGGUUAAAAAGCUCGUAGUUGAACCUUGGGCCUGGCUGGCCGGUCCGCCUCACCGCGUGCACUGGUCCGGCCGGGCCUUUCCCUCUGUGGAACCCCAUACCCUUCACUGGGCGUGGCGGGGAAACAGGACAUUUACUUUGAAAAAAUUAGAGUGCUCCAGGCAGGCCUAUGCUCGAAUACAUUAGCAUGGAAUAAUAAAAUAGGACGCGCGG
This 280-nucleotide ribosomal RNA is filed under the name uncultured Ascomycota. RNAcentral's name for it is "partial 18S ribosomal RNA". It matches the Rfam family "Eukaryotic small subunit ribosomal RNA", at positions 548 to 834 of the family's 1831-position model. Lineage: Eukaryota; Fungi; Ascomycota. The record is from RNAcentral.